This 988-nucleotide long non-coding RNA is filed under the name Homo sapiens (human). RNAcentral's name for it is "non-protein coding lnc-ZFAND5-5:4". The record is from RNAcentral. Lineage: Eukaryota; Metazoa; Chordata; Mammalia; Primates; Hominidae.
AGGUUAUGAGCAGCCCAAGAGGAGGAACAAUGGUAGCUCCAGAAGUUCUAACAGGAAGAGGAAAGGGUCAGAGAUUUUAUUAAGAAAAGAAUUUUGGAGGAGUAAUCAGCGGAUUUGACUUGAAACAAUAGCUGCAGAAUAUGUUUAAUUUUGAAGAUCUACACUUUUAUUUCAGAGAAGUAUGGAGGGGCACAAUGAGUAAAUACAAAUGUUUGGUCCACUAUCUUGGAUCAGAAGGCUAGCCGAACAUCUUGGAUUCCACUGAGCUAAUUGACAUUGUAUAAUAAUGAAAAAAAUAAACAAAUUUCUCAAGACUCAAAAUAUCUAAGAAUGUAGGUCAAGAACAUUUAAGAGGGGGAAGAUGGGUGUAAAUAUCUGAGAACAUUCUGGGGAAAGGAGUUACAGUGAUGAACAAAGAAGACAUAUUUGAGAAGUGAAGAAUACAGACAAGAAUAAGAAAGAGCCUACUGCUGAGUUAAAACACCUCUUCAUAAUUACUUCCAAGGUACCCAAUCUCCUAUUCAAAACUGUGAUACUAUUUGUCCUUAAGGCUUGAUUAAAUUUUUAGUCAAUGUUUCUCAUCAUCCUGUUUCUGCCGAGGGUAAGGAAAAAUAUUUAUUAUUUUAUUGUUUCAAAUGCAUCAAUAUGUUGUGUUCCUCUAGUCAAAUAAUAGAAAGUGUUUAGUAACAGUACAAUAUUAUGCAAAGGUCUCUGGUUAAAGUAAGACCUUGGCUCAAAAAUGCUCACUAACUGCCCAAUACUGAGUAAAUCACUUCUUUUUCCUAAGUCUUAGUUUCCUCAUCAGUACAGGGAUGGUUAACAUAGGUUGAGUUUCUUUUCCAUAAUAUAAUUUAUUUUGAGUGCAAAAUUACAUACGUAAGUAGUUAAUAUGUAGCAGUUGUUUUAAAACUACUGUAUUUAAUUUUGGCUAAAAUCAGAAAUCAUUUGAGGUAAUCAUUAAUUUUUGCAAAUGAAGCUGCUAAAGCAC